GUAUUGACAAAGCCUUGGUGUUAUUCAUGUUGUUGGCUGCAUGAUUUUGAAAAAAUAAAGAUAUUAAAGUGAAUCUUGGUGUACACAUGUUUCCAAAGACAUUUGUAGAACAAAUUGUAGAACAAAUAACAUUCUUCUGUGAGGCAAACCCUGUUAUAUUGAACAGAUUUAUUAAAAUGAUCGCUUUUUUCAGAAAGAAAUAUGAAUAGAGGACUUCUAUAGCAGAAGAAGUAUAGCCAAAAUUGCAGAAAACAACAACCGAAUGACUGCAUCACUAAAGAAAAGAAACAGGAUUUCUCCAAAUGUAGAAAUGCAGACAGCUCUUCACCAUCAACUGUGAUCCUUUGUAAUUUUGUGUACAUAUGAAACUAAAUGACUGCAAAGAAU
This is a long non-coding RNA of Mya arenaria, 387 nucleotides long. RefSeq lists it as uncharacterized. Lineage: Eukaryota; Metazoa; Mollusca; Bivalvia; Myida; Myidae. The transcript has 2 exons. The record is from RefSeq and is a predicted model, not a curated record.